This 62-nucleotide transfer RNA is filed under the name marine eukaryotic metagenome. It matches the Rfam family "tRNA", at positions 6 to 65 of the family's 71-position model. Rfam says of the family: Transfer RNA (tRNA) molecules are approximately 80 nucleotides in length. The record is from RNAcentral.
AGUGGCUCAAUUGGCAGAGCAGCGGUCUCCAAAACCGCAGGUUGGGGGUUCGAAUCCCUCCU